AUUCUAACGAAUGAAAUUGACUAUCUUAGAUUAGUAGCUAAAAUACUUCUAUCAAAAGAAAAGAUCGAAAUGACAGAAAGGAGAAUAUUAUAUACCUAAUACAUACGUCUAGAUACUUACAUAGUAAAUGAUUCAUUCCAGAGUUUGAUCGAUCUUUUGAAGAUUAAUCGGACGAGAAUAAAGAGAGAGUCCCUUUUUACAUGUCAAUACCGACAACAAUGAAAUUUAUAGUAAGAGAAAAAUCCGUCGAAUUUUAAAAUCGUGAGGGUUCAAGUCCCUCUAUCCCCAAGAAAAAGCCCAUUUUAUUUACUCGCUCUUUAUCAUUAUUGUGACAUUUACAAAGAAUUUGAAGAUCUAAGAAAUUAAGGGGGACUAGGUCCAAUUUUUUUGAGACUUUCUUUUUUAGUUCUUUUCAUUGACAUAGAAAUAAGUACUUUGCUAGGAUGAUGCACGGAAAAGG
RNAcentral lists this unclassified non-coding RNA (460 nucleotides) under Disperis tripetaloides. Its description in RNAcentral is "partial contains tRNA-Leu (trnL), trnL-trnF intergenic spacer, and tRNA-Phe (trnF)". The record is from RNAcentral. Lineage: Eukaryota; Viridiplantae; Streptophyta; Magnoliopsida; Asparagales; Orchidaceae.